This 567-nucleotide ribosomal RNA is filed under the name Hepatozoon sp. JPM-2014. RNAcentral's name for it is "bacterial SSU rRNA". It matches the Rfam family "Eukaryotic small subunit ribosomal RNA", at positions 357 to 914 of the family's 1831-position model. The record is from RNAcentral. Lineage: Eukaryota; Apicomplexa; Hepatozoidae.
GGUUAACGGGGAAUUAGGGUUCAAUUCCGGAGAGGGAGCCUGAGAAACGGCUACCACAUCUAAGGAAGGCAGCAGGCGCGCAAAUUACCCAAUUCUAACAGCAUAAGAGAGGUAGUGACAAGAAAUAACAGUACAAGGCAGUUAAAAUGCUUUGUAAUUGGAAUGAUAGAAAUUUAAAUACUUUUUAAAGUAUCAAUUGGAGGGCAAGUCUGGUGCCAGCAGCCGCGGUAAUUCCAGCUCCAAUAGCGUAUAUUAAAAUUGUUGCAGUUAAAAAGCUCGUAGUUGAAUUUUUGCUAAAAAUAACCGGUCUGCUUUUAUUAAUAAAAGUGGUAUCUUGGUGUGUUUUUAGCAAUAAUGUCCUUUGAAAUGUUUUUUACUUUAUUGUAAGAGGCAAUUUUCAGGAUUUUUACUUUGAGAAAAUUAGAGUGUUUCAAGCAGGCUAACGUUUUGAAUACUGCAGCAUGGAAUAAUAAAAUAGGAUUUUAGUUCUACGUUAUUGGUUUUAAGAACUAAAUUAAUGAUUGAUAGGAGCAGUUGGGGGCAUUUGUAUUUAACUGUCAGAGGUGA